GGCAGCAGUGGGGAAUUUUGGACAAUGGGGGCAAGCCUGAUCCAGCCAUGCCGCGUGAGUGAAGAAGGCCUUCGGGUUGUAAAGCUCUUUCAGCCGGGAAGAAAUCGCGCGGGUUAAUACUCUGUGUGGAUGACGGUACCGGAAGAAGAAGCACCGGCUAACUACGUGCCAGCAGCCGCGGUAAUACGUAGGGUGCGAGCGUUAAUCGGAAUUACUGGGCGUAAAGCGUGCGCAGGCGGUUUUUUAAGACAGAUGUGAAAUCCCCGGGCUCAACCUGGGAACUGCGUUUGUGACUGUCUGGCUAGAGUACGGCAGAGGGGGGUGGAAUUCCGCGUGUAGCAGUGAAAUGCGUAGAGAUGUGGAGGAACACCGAUGGCGAAGGCAGCCCCCUGGGCCAAUACUGACGCUCAUGCACGAAAGCGUGGGGAGCAAACAGGAUUAGAUACCCUGGUAGUCCACGCCCUAAACGAUGUCAACUAGGUGUUGGGUGGGGAGACCCAUUGAGUACCGCAGCUAACGC
RNAcentral lists this ribosomal RNA (520 nucleotides) under uncultured bacterium. Its description in RNAcentral is "bacterial SSU rRNA". It matches the Rfam family "Bacterial small subunit ribosomal RNA", at positions 347 to 858 of the family's 1533-position model. The record is from RNAcentral.